UAGGGAAUCUUCGGCAAUGGACGAAAGUCUGACCGAGCAACGCCGCGUGAGUGAAGAAGGUUUUCGGAUCGUAAAACUCUGUUGGUAGAGAAGAACGUUGGUGAGAGUGGAAAGCUCAUCAAGUGACGGUAACUACCCAGAAAGGGACGGCUAACUACGUGCCAGCAGCCGCGGUAAUACGUAGGUCCCGAGCGUUGUCCGGAUUUAUUGGGCGUAAAGCGAGCGCAGGUGGUUUAUUAAGUCUGGUGUAAAAGGCAGUGGCUCAACCAUUGUAUGCAUUGGAAACUGGUAGACUUGAGUGCAGGAGAGGAGAGUGGAAUUCCAUGUGUAGCGGUGAAAUGCGUAGAUAUAUGGAGGAACACCGGUGGCGAAAGCGGCUCUCUGGCCUGUAACUGACACUGAGGCUCGAAAGCGUGGGGAGCAAACA
RNAcentral lists this ribosomal RNA (427 nucleotides) under Lactococcus sp. Its description in RNAcentral is "partial 16S ribosomal RNA". It matches the Rfam family "Bacterial small subunit ribosomal RNA", at positions 355 to 774 of the family's 1533-position model. Lineage: Bacteria; Bacillati; Bacillota; Bacilli; Lactobacillales; Streptococcaceae. RNAcentral also lists the same sequence under 3 other names. The record is from RNAcentral.